GCUUCUCUGACCCUGUGCAUCCUUCCUAGCUGGGCAAAUCAGAAUCCAUGGUGCUUCAGGACGUUUUCAAGACUGGUAUCUGUUUGGCCUGAGUAGAAGUGCAGCUGUUAAUGAAUAUACCCUGGAGCUAUGCUCAAAGAACACUGGAAGAAAGCUGGUGGCCCUCCAGAACCUGAUGGACAGUUCCUGGGAGACAUUCUUUGCACUUCUCAGGUAGCCCAGUGAAUUGAGCGUCUAGUGUCUAUAAACAGAAAUCAUGAUCAUGCAUCUCUUACGGGUGCUGUUUACUGCUCUCAUUUGCCCUAUUCCUUCACUGUUAGCU
RNAcentral lists this long non-coding RNA (322 nucleotides) under Homo sapiens (human). Its description in RNAcentral is "HSALNT0146685". Lineage: Eukaryota; Metazoa; Chordata; Mammalia; Primates; Hominidae. The record is from RNAcentral.